UACGUAGGGCGCAAGCGUUGUCCGGAUUUAUUGGGCGUAAAGAGCGUGUAGGCGGCUAGGUAGGUCCGUUGUGAAAACUCGAGGCUCAACCUCGAGACGUCGAUGGAAACCAUCUAGCUAGAGUCCGGAAGAGGAGAGUGGAAUUCCUGGUGUAGCGGUGAAAUGCGCAGAUAUCAGGAAGAACACCCGUGGCGAAGGCGGCUCUCUGGUACGUGACUGACGCUGAGACGCGAAAGCGUGGGGAGCGAACAGG
Molecule: ribosomal RNA, 253 nt
Filed under: uncultured bacterium
Lineage: Bacteria
Description: partial 16S ribosomal RNA
Rfam family: Bacterial small subunit ribosomal RNA
Source: RNAcentral